This 828-nucleotide ribosomal RNA is filed under the name Arenibacter sp. R8M2. RNAcentral's name for it is "bacterial SSU rRNA". It matches the Rfam family "Bacterial small subunit ribosomal RNA", at positions 84 to 915 of the family's 1533-position model. The record is from RNAcentral. Lineage: Bacteria; Pseudomonadati; Bacteroidota; Flavobacteriia; Flavobacteriales; Flavobacteriaceae.
UCUGCCGGCGACCGGCGCACGGGUGCGUAACGCGUAUAGAAUCUGCCUUGUACUAGGGAAUAGCCCAGAGAAAUUUGGAUUAAUGCCCUAUAGUAUAUCGUUAUGGCAUCAUAGCGAUAUUAAAGGUUACGGUACAAGAUGACUAUGCGUCCCAUUAGUUAGUUGGUGAGGUAACGGCUCACCAAGACUGCGAUGGGUAGGGGCCCUGAGAGGGGGAUCCCCCACACUGGUACUGAGACACGGACCAGACUCCUACGGGAGGCAGCAGUGAGGAAUAUUGGACAAUGGGCGGGAGCCUGAUCCAGCCAUGCCGCGUGCAGGAAGACGGUCCUAUGGAUUGUAAACUGCUUUUAUACGGGAAGAACCUGGGGCACGUGUGCCCUUCUGACGGUACCGUAAGAAUAAGGAUCGGCUAACUCCGUGCCAGCAGCCGCGGUAAUACGGAGGAUCCAAGCGUUAUCCGGAAUCAUUGGGUUUAAAGGGUCCGUAGGCGGGCCAUUAAGUCAGGGGUGAAAGUUUGCGGCUCAACCGUAAAAUUGCCCUUGAUACUGGUGGUCUUGAGUUAUAGUGAAGUGGCUAGAAUAUGUAGUGUAGCGGUGAAAUGCAUAGAUAUUACAUAGAAUACCGAUUGCGAAGGCAGGUCACUAACUAUACACUGACGCUGAUGGACGAAAGCGUGGGGAGCGAACAGGAUUAGAUACCCUGGUAGUCCACGCCGUAAACGAUGGAUACUAGCUGUUCGGGCGCAAGCCUGAGCGGCCAAGCGAAAGUGAUAAGUAUCCCACCUGGGGAGUACGUUCGCAAGAAUGAAACUCAAAGGAAUUGACG